AUUGAACGCUGGCGGCAGGCCUAACACAUGCAAGUCGAGCGUGAAAGUCCUUCGGGAUGAGUAAAGCGGCGGACGGGUGAGUAACGCGUAGGAAUCUACCUGAUAGUGGGGGAUAACGUCUCGAAAGGGACGCUAAUACCGCAUACGUUCUGAGGAAGAAAGCAGGGGAUCGCAAGACCUUGUGCUAUCAGAUGAGCCUGCGUCCGAUUAGCUAGUUGGUGGGGUAAAGGCCUACCAAGGCGACGAUCGGUAACUGGUCUGAGAGGAUGAUCAGUCACACUGAAACUGCGAAACGGUCCAGACUCCUACGGGAGGCAGCAGUGGGGAAUAUUGGACAAUGGGGGCAACCCUGAUCCAGCCAUGCCGCGUGUGUGAAGAAGGCCUUCGGGUUGUAAAGCACUUUAAGCGGGGAGGAAGGCUCCAUGGUUAAUACCCAUGGGGAUUGACGUUACCCGCAGAAUAAGCACCGGCAAACUUCGUGCCAGCAGCCGCCGUAA
RNAcentral lists this ribosomal RNA (497 nucleotides) under uncultured bacterium. RNAcentral's name for it is "partial 16S ribosomal RNA". It matches the Rfam family "Bacterial small subunit ribosomal RNA", at positions 30 to 523 of the family's 1533-position model. The record is from RNAcentral.